UACGUAGGGGGCAAGCGUUGUCCGGAUUUAUUGGGCGUAAAGAGCGUGUAGGCGGCCAGGUAGGUCUGCUGUGAAAGCCCUCGGCUUAACCGAGGAACUGCCUGUCAGACUGGAAGGCUUGAGACCGGGAGAGGUGAGUGGAAUUCCCAGUGUAGCGGUGAAAUGCGUAGAUAUUGGGAGGAACACCAGUGGCGAAGGCGGCUCACUGGACCGGUACUGACGCUGAGGCGCGAAAGCGUGGGGAGCAAACAGGG
This 254-nucleotide ribosomal RNA is filed under the name uncultured bacterium. RNAcentral describes it as "partial 16S ribosomal RNA". It matches the Rfam family "Bacterial small subunit ribosomal RNA", at positions 524 to 777 of the family's 1533-position model. The record is from RNAcentral.